UACGUAGGGGGCAAGCGUUAUCCGGAUUUACUGGGUGUAGAGGGAGCGUAGACGGCUUUGCAAGCCAGAUGUGAAAGCCCGGGGCUCAACCCCGGGACUGCAUUUGGAACUGUAUGGCUGGAGUGUCGGAGAGGCAGGCGGAAUUCCUAGUGUAGCGGUGAAAUGCGUAGAUAUUAGGAGGAACACCAGUGGCGAAGGCGGCCUGCUGGACGAUGACUGACGUUGAGGCUCGAAAGCGUGGGGAGCAAACAGG
RNAcentral lists this ribosomal RNA (253 nucleotides) under uncultured bacterium. Its description in RNAcentral is "partial 16S ribosomal RNA". It matches the Rfam family "Bacterial small subunit ribosomal RNA", at positions 524 to 776 of the family's 1533-position model. The record is from RNAcentral.